RNAcentral lists this ribosomal RNA (253 nucleotides) under uncultured bacterium. Its description in RNAcentral is "partial 16S ribosomal RNA". It matches the Rfam family "Bacterial small subunit ribosomal RNA", at positions 524 to 776 of the family's 1533-position model. The record is from RNAcentral.
UACGUAGGGCGCAAGCGUUGUCCGGAAUUAUUGGGCGUAAAGAGCUCGUAGGCGGUUUGUCGCGUCUGUCGUGAAAGCUUGGGGCUUAACCCCAAGUCUGCGGUGGAUACGGGCAGACUAGAGGCAGGUAGGGGAGAACGGAAUUCCCGGUGUAGCGGUGAAAUGCGCGGAUAUCGGGAGGAGCACCGGUGGCGAAGGCGGUUCUCUGGGCCUGUACUGACGCUGAGGAGCGAAAGCGUGGGGAGCGAACAGG